AACACAUGCAAGUCGAACGAGUAAGAGCCAAGCUUGCUGGGAAUUCUGCUAGUGGCGCACGGGUGAGUAACGCGUGGGAACGUGCCCUUGGGUACGGAAUAACGUCUGGAAACGGACGCUAAUACCGUAUGAUGUCUGCGGACCAAAGAUUUAUCGCCCAGGGAUCGGCCCGCGGGAGAUUAGCUAGUUGGUCAGGUAAUGGCUCACCAAGGCCACGAUCGCUAGCUGGUCUGAGGAGAUGAUCAACCACACUGGAACUGAGACACGGACCAGACUCCUACGGGAGGCAGCAGUGGGGAAUAUUGGACAAUGGGCGAAAGCCUGAUCCAGCCAUGCCGCGUGAGUGAUGAAGGCCUUCGGGUUGUAAAACUCUUUAGCCAGGGAAGAUGAUGACGGUACCUGGAAAAUAAGCACCGGCUAACUUCGUGCCAGCCGCCGCGGUAA
This 444-nucleotide ribosomal RNA is filed under the name uncultured bacterium. RNAcentral's name for it is "partial 16S ribosomal RNA". It matches the Rfam family "Bacterial small subunit ribosomal RNA", at positions 50 to 523 of the family's 1533-position model. The record is from RNAcentral.